AAAAACACUAAUGUAACAGAACAUCAAAAGACUUUAAUAUUAAAUAUCCAGAAACGUUAUCAAUUCGUCAUAAACAUACUACUUGUAUCCGACUCUGUCCAUUUCCGGCCAUUUCAGCUGUCAUUGCAAGGCAUGUCAAUGUCACUUAUUUAGUCAGAUUUAUUUUCUCCCAUUGUUCGAAUUAUCAUUCUUGACAUCCCCAAAGCCCCCAAACCGACUAGUGCGAGUCUCAUUCAAAACAUCACUGGCUCGGCUUGAAUUACUAUCACCAAAUCCACUGGAACGACCAGAACCCCAGUCCCCAAAAGCACUAGAACCAUCUGAUCGACUAGGUUCACCAAAACCAAAGCCAGGACUAAUAAAAUUUCCUGGUUGUUUUCGGUUAUAACCAAAGGAACCAGCUCCAUUCAUUUGACGAGAAAGUUGACCACGCCCAUCAGAAUGGCCAAAUCCUGGAUUCCUGUAACGAUUAGAUCCAUAAUCCCCAUGACCACCAGCUCNGCGUGUUUCACCAAAUCGACGAUCUCUCGCUCCACCAAAAGAUCCAUAAUCCCCAUGACCACCAGCUCGACUAAAACCUGUAUCACCAAAUCGACGAUCUCUCACUCCUCCAAAUCGAACGCCAUAACCAAUAUCAUUCAUGAUGCCCAUGCUUCCACCCUCAACUGUAAUCCUAGGAAGCUCUGUAAAUCUGCACCCUAUUUCCCGCUCAUAGAUCCUGACUUGCCUACUUUGAUCCUGUGUGUAAAUAAGAAUGGCAGUUCCUUUCUUCCCAGCACGACCAGUACGGCCAGAUCGAUGAACAAAAGUCUCUGAACAGUUUGGCAAUGCAUAAUGUAUUACCAGAUCAACGUUAGGAACAUCAAGGCCACGGGCAGCAACAUCAGUGGCAACCAAUAUAUUGAAAUUCCCAUUUCGGAAGCCUGAAAGUGUCCUCUCCCUCUGACUUUGUGAGAUAUCCCCAUGCAAAGCCUCACAUCGAAAGUUUCUUGCCAUAGCAUAUGCUAAUCGAUCAGCUUCACGUUUUGUUUCAGUAAAAACAAUACACUUUCCUCCUUUUGCGUGUUCUGUUAUCAGAGGACCGAGUACUGAUGCUUUUUCAUACGUGUCUGAGGCAAUUGAAUAAAGUGAGAUUCCAUCAGCCAGCUUUGUACUAGAAUCUCCAACAAGAUCAAUAGUCAGUGGAUCUUUGAGAUAAUUCCUGAUAAGGUUUUUAAUCCAACUUGGCAUUGUUGCAGAGAACAGCAUGCUCUGCCUAUUCUGUGGCAACCUCUGGAAGAUUGUUUCAAUAUCAUCCA
RNAcentral lists this unclassified non-coding RNA (1298 nucleotides) under Hevea brasiliensis (rubber tree). The record is from RNAcentral. Lineage: Eukaryota; Viridiplantae; Streptophyta; Magnoliopsida; Malpighiales; Euphorbiaceae.